AUUGAACGCUGGCGGCAGGCCUAACACAUGCAAGUCGAACGGUAACAGGAAACAGCUUGCUGUUUCGCUGACGAGUGGCGGACGGGUGAGUAAUGUCUGGGAAACUGCCUGAUGGAGGGGGAUAACUACUGGAAACGGUAGCUAAUACCGCAUAACGUCGCAAGACCAAAGAGGGGGACCUUCGGGCCUCUUGCCAUCGGAUGUGCCCAGAUGGGAUUAGCUAGUAGGUGGGGUAACGGCUCACCUAGGCGACGAUCCCUAGCUGGUCUGAGAGGAUGACCAGCCACACUGGAACUGAGACACGGUCCAGACUCCUACGGGAGGCAGCAGUGGGGAAUAUUGCACAAUGGGCGCAAGCCUGAUGCAGCCAUGCCGCGUGUAUGAAGAAGGCCUUCGGGUUGUAAAGUACUUUCAGCGGGGAGGAAGGGAGUAAAGUUAAUACCUUUGCUCAUUGACGUUACCCGCAGAAGAAGCACCAGCUAACUCCGUG
RNAcentral lists this ribosomal RNA (490 nucleotides) under uncultured bacterium. RNAcentral's name for it is "partial 16S ribosomal RNA". It matches the Rfam family "Bacterial small subunit ribosomal RNA", at positions 30 to 507 of the family's 1533-position model. The record is from RNAcentral.